UUUUUCAGGGUGCUGUCGAUCGGUUUUAUCAACAGACUGUUGUCGCGCAACGUGACGUCGCCUUUCGCCGUUACCAGCUCGCCGUCGAGGGGAAUAUCCAGAUGUAAGCGAGCAUUCACAUCGCCGCCAAUUUGCAACUGCUCAAGAGCGGCGCCGAGCGACUCUUUAAGCGGCGUACCGUCAAAAUACGGCCCCACUGCGUCGCCAGGCCCAGUGAUAUCGGCAUCAAUCAACAGUUUUUCUUUCGAAUAGUCGGGGAUGACCGCUGUCAGAUUGGAGGCUUUUACACCACCCAAAUCGACACCGUCGGUUUUCAUCCACAAGCCGUCGUUAAGGAAAUCCAGCUCGAUAUCCAGAUUGGUCAGCGCAGGCCAGUCCGGCUGGAAAGCGAAUUUGGCGUUACGCAGCGGCAC
RNAcentral lists this non-coding RNA (413 nucleotides) under Citrobacter sedlakii. Lineage: Bacteria; Pseudomonadati; Pseudomonadota; Gammaproteobacteria; Enterobacterales; Enterobacteriaceae. The record is from RNAcentral.